RNAcentral lists this ribosomal RNA (668 nucleotides) under Escherichia coli. RNAcentral describes it as "partial 23S ribosomal RNA". It matches the Rfam family "Bacterial large subunit ribosomal RNA", at positions 418 to 1086 of the family's 2925-position model. The record is from RNAcentral. Lineage: Bacteria; Pseudomonadati; Pseudomonadota; Gammaproteobacteria; Enterobacterales; Enterobacteriaceae.
CGGGACACGUGGUAUCCUGUCUGAAUAUGGGGGGACCAUCCUCCAAGGCUAAAUACUCCUGACUGACCGAUAGUGAACCAGUACCGUGAGGGAAAGGCGAAAAGAACCCCGGCGAGGGGAGUGAAAAAGAACCUGAAACCGUGUACGUACAAGCAGUGGGAGCACGCUUAGGCGUGUGACUGCGUACCUUUUGUAUAAUGGGUCAGCGACUUAUAUUCUGUAGCAAGGUUAACCGAAUAGGGGAGCCGAAGGGAAACCGAGUCUUAACUGGGCGUUAAGUUGCAGGGUAUAGACCCGAAACCCGGUGAUCUAGCCAUGGGCAGGUUGAAGGUUGGGUAACACUAACUGGAGGACCGAACCGACUAAUGUUGAAAAAUUAGCGGAUGACUUGUGGCUGGGGGUGAAAGGCCAAUCAAACCGGGAGAUAGCUGGUUCUCCCCGAAAGCUAUUUAGGUAGCGCCUCGUGAAUUCAUCUCCGGGGGUAGAGCACUGUUUCGGCAAGGGGGUCAUCCCGACUUACCAACCCGAUGCAAACUGCGAAUACCGGAGAAUGUUAUCACGGGAGACACACGGCGGGUGCUAACGUCCGUCGUGAAGAGGGAAACAACCCAGACCGCCAGCUAAGGUCCCAAAGUCAUGGUUAAGUGGGAAACGAUGUGGGAAGGCCC